UUCAGAUUGCAUAACAAGUACGAUGUGGUAAUUGGAUUUAAUAAGAAGUAAACAAGUUAUUACGUCGAUAGAACUUGGUAAAUGGUGGUACAACAAUAUAUAUAUACGACUUUUCAGGAGAAUCGUACGUAAACAAGUAGUGAUGUCAUAAUAACUGUAAAUUGUCCGUAAUUGACUGAUCUUGUCAUGUCCCAGAAUAUUUAUCAGGCAAAAUCAAUUACGUCAUUUAAAAUAGUGGUAAUAAGAACUCUCUUAGAGAACAAAGCUUAAUUGGUUCACAGUUAGCUUAAAUCAAUUAGAUGUUGUUGUAGUGGGGAAACAAGAACAUCCGCUUCAUUAUUGCAAUGAGUUCUACUACUAUUUGUUAUUAACCUGUUUCAUUUGCAAGUAAUUGUAACCCUUUGUAAUCUUUAAAUAUGACCUUUUGUUAAUAUCAGGUUGAAAAUUAUCGACAAAUAGAUACACAACCAUAUUUGCAGAUAACCACAAUGUAAAUAAUAUUAAGUAAAUAUUAAGGACUUGAGUUUAUGGGUAAAACACAUUAUCUUGAAGUGCUUCUUUACAUAAAGGUUUUGUAUCUGCAGGUGGAGUACUUGUAUAGGCAUGUUUUAUAGGUUGAUGGUCAGAAUAUCGUAUCUUGGAGGAAAUAAUAUUACGGAUAUUAAUGUACUUACUGUUUUUUUUCGCUUUUACAUACAUCAUAUAUUAACCAAUGUAUUUUAUUAACCAGAAUUGACGUAUAAUGAAUGAGCUGCUGCAUUAGAAAACAUUAUCAAAAAACGAUUUUAUACAAAGAAAUAAAAAGUUAAUUUAAUACAAAGAAAUAAAAAGUUAAUUUAAUACAAAGAAAUAAAAAGUUAAUUUUGUACAAAGAAAGUAUCUUAAGUACCUUAAAAAAAAGGAAAAAAAAGGAGGAGAUAACUUCUUGAAUGCAUUUUUUUUUUAUUGAAUUGCAAUACCUAGAUAGAUUUCAAAAAUUAAAGAAAAUUGGCAAUUAGAAGGUAAUCUUUAAAGAAAGAAAAAUCCUCAUUGGAAAAAAACUGAACAAUACACCAAAAAAGUAAUUUCUACUUAUGGCUAGAGAAACCCUUUGAAACAGUGAAAACACAUGUAUAUGCCACUCAAAACAAAUAUGCUUAUGAAAUGCAGUGAGAUCAUUGUUGACCAUUCACUCAAGCACAUUUUUAGCUAUAAGUCACAGUACAGCCUUCAAAGUGAGCAAAAAUAAUAAUUGUAAAGUGAGCUAAAGAAGGAUCCAACAUGACAAAAUGUAAAGAAAUUCAAAAGAGAAAACCAACUGCAUGAGCUAAUGUGAUCCAGGGGGCCUGAGGGGCCUUUCAUGGGGAAAUUUGGUUGUAUAUAUAGGGAAUCACUGAAGCAUUAAUGGAGCCCCCCCCUCUUUCUGUCAGUCAGCGGGCCCCCCUUAUGAAAAGUUCUGGAUCUGCCACUGAACUGCUUCAUUUAUGUACAAGUCAGUUAAUCAAAAACAAAUAUGAUAGACAGCAACCAACAGCAAAACAGGUUCCUGAAUUAUAUUAUAAAUUCAGGACCACUUUGUUUCCAAUGAUAUAAUACUAUAAACAUUUAUUUUGAGGCUUUAUCAUUAUCACAUCUGCCAUAGAACAAAUUUCUGAUGUUACACUUGUUUGUCCUUUUUCAUAGCUGAUUCAUUGGGAAAAGUAUUAAAGAUAAUUAAUUUUCAUUGGUUUCAUGGACAAUUUAAAAAUAAAUUGAAUUGUAGUGUAAAUGAUUUUCAGAUUUACCACGCAGACUCUUCAGUUUCCAGGUAUUCUGACAGAGUGGGGGGAUUCUUACCACAAUAUCAUGUACAACUUGUUGAUGCUAAUUGCAAAAUUUUCCGUGACAAAUCUUGCAUGGGCAAUUGUGCAUUAUCUGACCACACAGGAUAUAUCUACAUGUAUUUACACAUUAGUCUUUUUAAGAUAAGACUUUAGAUGUGACAUGUACAUCAUGUAAAAAUCACAAGACAAUUUUAAUGAAGAGUAAUAAAGUAGGAGUGAUGCAACACCCCUGUAAAAACAUGAUAUGCAUCUUAUAAAACAUUAAACAUUUCCAGAACUUACACGGAAAUGAAAUUGCAAUAAUCCUCAAAUCAUACGUUUAUAAUCUAAUUAAUCUCCUAUUUCAAGGAAAAUGAUGAAUAUAAAGUUUGGGUCCGUUUGUAACAAUUGUUUUAGGAAAGUGGGUAUACUUGACUCAAUGAGAGGAUAUCCUUUUGUACUUUAAAUAGGUCCAUUCAUUUAUAUUACUAUUUUCACAAUGAGCGGAAGAGGAAAAGGAAACAUUGAAAAAGUGGAUUCUCAAAAAAUAGGUCGGGUCAGGAGUAUGAUGAAAAAACUUUUAAAGCUUGUUCUGCGGAUGUGAAAAUAAAAUUAUCUGAUACAGUUCUGUUUCUAAAUGGUACCAAAUGUUACAAACUAAUUUUGGUUUCAGAAAGGAAUCAACUACUUCCUUUGAAUUGUUAUGAGUCUUACACAUAUGAAAAUAUAGAUAUAAGCAAAAUGGAAAUGUUGAAUGAUUGCCAAUGGGAAAAAAUGCAUUUUACCCACUAAAGCCAAAGGACAAGGAUAUAAACAACUACAGUUUACUAUACAACCUUCAACACAGAGCAAAACUCUUUCUGUAAAAGUAGGCUUCAAAAGGUCAAUGCAUAACAAAUUGUGAAACUAUUCAAAGAGAAAAUCAACAGCCUUAUUUAUUCUAAAACAAUUGUAGCAGACAGCAGAUAGAGACAGGGUAAACUUCUAGAGGCAGCAACACAACAACAGAAGUUAAGCAGAUAUAGUUCAAGUUGUGUUGGUAUAUUCUUUUCAUAAAUCAUAUUUACCCUAACCUUUAGGUACUGCUUAAUGUAACAUAAGGAGUCGGAUUUUUCAAAUUUUACAUCACAUAUGAAUUAUGUGUGUUUUAAACAGCAGCUCAAUCAGAAUUUUCAGUAUGAGAAGGAAGAAUCUGAAGGAUAAGAUUGCUAGUCUCUGAGGAGGUUUAACUAAGUUAGAAAUGAUAUGAGGUGUUAUCUGAGAAUGUUUCUCCAGAGGCAGAGUGAGAGAUAAUUAGACAUCCUAUCUGAGGUUGUCUGAAUUCCAAGUCAUGCAUACAUGAGUUGCAUGAUUCUUGCAAUUUGAAAAGAUUCAAAAUGAUUUAAAGUUCUCUGAAAAAGAUAAGAUGUUCAUAUGCUAUCAGACACAGGGGGUGGAAAUUUACUGAAAACCAUGCAUGUAUGGUGUCUUACCCAGGGGUUUGGCAAUUACUAUAAAAAGGGCUAUUUGUUUGAUGUCCUACCCAGGGGGUUUGGAAAUCACUGAAGCUAUCUCAACCAGGAGGUUCAGGCAGACAAGAGUAUCUCAGUCAAAAGCAACCAUGCAAAUUUUAAUCAAUUGCAGAAUAAUAAAAAAACAUUCUCCUGCCAACUUCAAAAGAAAUGCAUAAAUCAUAAUUACAACUAACAACAAAAGCCAAUAACUUUUUAAAAUUUCAAUGAAAUUAAAAAAUGGAAAAAAAAUAUGGAACAUAAUGCUUACAACUAUUUAAUUAUUUCUAAACAGUCAUUGAACAUGUAAACUGUGGAAUUUACUCUUAAUAUACAAGUACCGAAUCUGUCUUAAAAGAAUUUAACUUUCAAGUAGUGUUUUUGUAUCAUAAUAGAGCAUCUUCAUUAUACAUGGUAUUUUUAUAGCAUUUCUUUGUAAAUCACAAGUGUUUGUUUGUGUUUGAAUAUCGGAGGAAUUUAGAAAAUUUGUUAAUUAGGUCUUAAAAAUGAUCGUAAAAAUUUAAAUUAUCAAAAAAAGAUAUAGAUUCUGUUGAGCAGUGAUUUACUUUGGGCAAUACACAUUCUUUUGACAGAAGAAUAUUAACUUUUUUUUGAAGGACAGGAAUAAGGCACUAACCUUUCGUCUUCUGAGGGGGUAUGGGAGGUUUUUUUGUUGAUAAUUUUUUUCUACAUUUCUUAUGAAAAAAAUAUAAUUUCAGAGGGAAAGUGAAGAAAAUGUUUGUUUCUAUUGAAAAUUUAAAAAAUGAUUAUAAAUGCAAUUCAAAUUAAGUUUUAAAACAAUAUCUGUUCCUGUAUGUUACCCAUUUUUUUUAAUUUUUUUUUUUAAUAAUUCAAACAUUUUCCUAAAAAGAAAGACUUUUCCACACAUAUUAUGAAUGGCUUUGCCCUAAGCCUUAUCAAAUGCUCCUUUUAAAGAAAAUUUUAUGGUGACUGCUUUAAUCAGUGAUAUGUAGCAUGGAUUAUGAUUCUUGAUGACCUAUUUUUAAAAGUUAGAUUCAUUAAAGAUGAAUUAAAAGAUAAAGAAAACAAUCAAUCUUUUCUAUAGGUUCAAAAGAAAUAGCACCAAGGAACAUUUUAAUUUGAACAUGAACUAAAUAGCCACAACUUUUGAAAUUUAAUCAAAUUAACACAAGUCACCUCACCCCUCUUAAGAAUUUUAGAACUUUGAUUGUUCGCCUUCAUUCAACAGUGUUUUAUUUGAAAAUUAUAUUAACUUUAUUGGAAAUAAAUUAAAGAUCAAUCUCAUACAUUAUACAAUACAAGGGAGAUAAUACCCUUUAAAGGGAUUUAGAAAGCUUUUAAUUGGUCGAAAAAUUGUUUAUUUAUUAUUUAUUUCUUAUCUUAAAUAGCCAUCAAGAUAUCAAGAGGUGUCCUUUGUAUUGUCACAAUUAGUUUACUUAAAACAUUGUAUUAUUGCUUGUAUUUGAUGUCCACUAUGGCCAAUUCCUUUGAUCUGACCUAAUUAAGAUAACAAUAAAAAAACAACAUACAACCACAUAGAUAAUGUCCAGUUUUACAUCUAGCCAGUGGUCAUUUUGAAUGUUGAUCCCUGAUUUAUUACUUACGUAAAUGUAUUUAAUUAUCUAUAUCAGUUGAAUGGCUUUAUAAGAACAUUACCACAGUAUGACAAGGUACUUACUGGAUAAUUAUUACUUGUCAAUGGUAUAUUUUGUCCACAAAAUUUGGUCUUACAAGACUGUUUCUUCCACAAUGUUAUUUCUUACAUAAUGAUCUACUAAUUGUCAUAUAAUUGUCUAGUAAUGGGUUUGGGUAAAAAGGGUAUUUCAAUUAAAGGAAGGGUUCAGCUUGUUGGAUUUGAUAUUACUUAGUACAGAUAUAUGUCUAAGUGCAUCUUGAUGUUCUAAACCACAUCAGAAGUAAAUAACAAGGGCACCUGGGAUUCUAUAUAGUUAUAACUUAGGACCAGAAAUAUGUCAGAAAUUUUAAAAUGAGUUGGAAUCCAUAAUGUUAUAAUUUGUCUUGUCUGUCAUUGUUCCCCACAACUUGACAGCAGUAAUUAUUAUGGUAUACUAAUUUUCACUACUAAAACCAAAUGCUAGAAGAAAAAAUGUUUUGAAUGAAUAUCCAGGUUGAAGAAAUGGUAAAAAAAAACCCAGCAAAAACGGAAACUGUUAAUACAUUAUAGUAAUACAAACAGCUUAAAUUACCUACAAUUCCAGGUCCCCCGAUACUAUAUCAGUUUUAGAAUCCAACUUUUAUGGUAUACUGCAGUCUACAGAAAGAUCAAAUAUGUCAGAACAAUCGUCAUUGAUUAUGAUGUUAAAAAUUUUAUGAAUAUGAAAACAGUUCUGUGUACCAAAUUGGUUAAUCUCUUUGACAUGUGCUUUCAUUGUGGGACUAAUACAUAGAUAUAAAGGUAUUGGUUCUAUAUUUACCCAACCAAAAAAUUAAUAGCAGGCAAUGAUACUCAGAGAACGUUUUAAUUUCACAUACUAGUACACCUUCCCCUUCAAGAUAAAAGGUUUAAAUUUUAUUUGAAAUUGAACUUAAUUUAACAUGGAACAGUCCUGUUAUGAUGUUUGCAUAUGCAAGUGUUCUAUUUAGAAAACAAAAUGUUUUAUUUGAUAGAUGAAUUUGCAGGCGUUUCUCUAAAAUUAUAAUAGCCUAAAACUUGACAUAUCUCUUGUUACAGUAUCAUGGGUUUUAGAUUGCAUGAAAAAUAAUAAAUCCCUUUAUUAAAAAAGAUCCAUCAACUCCAGACUAAACACAAACUACUCAUCCCAACACAAAUAGAAUUAGCUUUUACAUCAAAUUCUGGUCACAUAUCUCUUUUGUUGAAUCUAAACACUGGUAAGAUAACACUGAUUAAAUUAAACAGAAAUAAUUGAUAGAAAACAAGUUUCUUUUUGUUGUGUAAACAGGCCAUGAUCUUCUCUUUUUGUUGUAUAGACAGACCAUCAUCUUGUAAAUUACAUUCAGUUUAUCAAAGUAAAUAAGAGAAUUGUCCAAAACAGAUCAGUUUCUGUACCUUUUAUGUGAUUAAUUUCUCAAGGAGCACUUCAUAUUACUUUGAGAUACAUUUUCAGCUGAUGUUGCAAAACUUGUCUUUGCUAAACUAUUUUUGAUAAAAAAUACUGAAGAUUCAGAAAAUUUUGAAUGCAUUUAUUAUUGUGAUUUCAAGAAAUGAGGCAUAUAUAAGAAUAAUCCUAUUAUAAUUUAGAUUGAAAACUAUUUUAUAAAAACUCAGAUUUCAUCUUUAAAACUUAUUAAUUGGGCGACAGUCUUUUCAAGUAAUGUUUUGAACCAAUUGUCUGUUUACAGUUCUUAUCAAGUUCUUGCUGAAUUGCUCAAUUUAAAUGUGCAUUUUUUUACCAUGUAGAUUUAAUACUUAAAUUGGGUUGAAGACACAUAUGGGGCGUUAAAAAACAUGAGUCAUAAACAAUCAGACAACCCCAUGACCAAAAGAAGAAAGACACAAGUUUGCAAAACACUACUUAAUAGAAGAGUAAAGAUUAUAAGUAACAGAAACACCAACAAAACUGGGAGUAAUGUUAGGUACUCUAGAAGAGUAAGCAGUUCCUGCCCCACAAUACCAUUUUUUCUGGACGACAUAUUUUGAACAAAAUAUAUAUCAAUUCUUCAAUUUAAGACCCUUUACCCAUGAUUCUAUGAUAGCAGUUACCUGGCACUUAUUCACCUCACUAGGUCAUUAACGUUUUACUGCUGUAAAUAGACAAUAUAUCAAAGCUAUUUUAAGACAAACCAAAGCCUGGCUUUAAUGUUAUUUUUUUAUGUUCCCAGAAAGUAAAAAGCCUCCUACUCUUGACAUUUGAACCAGACAUAAAACUAUGUAUUAUCUUUCUUCAUGGUCUGGAAUAUAGAUUCUAUUAUCCCCUUUGGACAAACAUUAAUUGUUUACUUUAAUUCUGAAAAUGGAUUGAAUCCCUUUUUAGGAUCAACAAACAAUUAAUAUGGCCAUUAUUACAGUUAUAAAACAUUAUGAACCUGUUUGAUAAUAACCAAACAUAUCAAUAUCCAGAGUGUAUACUUAUAAACAUCUGACACCUGGAUUUAAUGUGUUAUGUCCACUUGUCAAAUAGCCAGUGGUCAUUGCUCUGGACAUAAAACAUGGACACAAGGCCUUCACUACAUAAACUUUCUAUUUUCUUUGCUGAGACAAAAAGAUAAACUAUAUUUUUAUUAUCAAAGCUUUUUCUGAUCAUUUACAAGAUAUUUUUGACACUCGAUAGAUAAAAACAGGGUGUAUAAAGAAUAUUCUGUUGAAAAUAAUAUGCAAUUUGUCAAAGGGGUAUGUUUUCAAGUACUGAAGUUUUUGUCAUUUUUUUUGCUUGAACAUGUAUAAAUAAUAAAAAUGAUUAUGAUAUAAUAAAUUAAACAAACUUUGUUUAUGUUAUAUAAACAAGUGUGUUAGCUGUUAUCUUUGAUAUUUCUUUCUUUUAAGUAUGAUGGAUGUCCUAAAUUAUACUAAUUUUAUACCGAUCAUUUCAGCACACACACACAAAGGGAAAGAAAACUCCCUGAUCAAUAUUGUGAUAGGACAUUCCACUUGGGUGCAAAUUUUUUUCAUUUAAUUUUUUAAUAUUAACAAAAAGUUGUGAUAGGACAUCUCACUUGUGUUCAAGUUUUUUUCAUUUAACUUUUUAAUAUAACCACCAAGUCUAUGUCAGGAACUGGACUAUAACACUCUAAGACAUAAGCCCGAAUUUCCAGCUACUUUGUAGCUGUGGUCUUAUCAGACAUCAUGCUGAUGUCAAUUACCCCAGAUCAUGCAUCAUGCUGGGUUUGUUGAUCUUAAUCCCCUUAAUAACUGGUCACAUACAUAUUAUAUUACUUUCUAUAUAUCAUUUUCAGUACAGUUACAAAUGUGUAUAAAUGAUUCCUAGUGAACAUGGUGAAUAUUGAUAUAGAAAUUGAAUACGUGAAAGGAAGUUGAAAUAAAAACAGAAAACUAUUUAAAGUGAUUAAGUUUUUAUUGUAAUUUAUAGUAUGUAAUAUCGUUUGGCACAGUAGCAAAUGUACACACGUUUAAAAAAAGAUGACAUAAAUCUAAUUUUGUCAAACAAUCAUGGGUAUGAUAGAAAAGAAGAGAACACAUUGAUUAACACAUUCUAUUGUUUUGAAGAAAAAAGGGGGAUUGUCAUCUGGAGGUUUAAUUGAUUUUUUUUCGUUUUCAAAAUUGAUUUUUUUAAUAAAAAUCAGUUCCUUUGACCACAUUGAUUUUGUGUCACAAACCUAUGCUGUGUCAAAUAUUCAAUCACAAUCCAAAUCAAGAGCUGUUUUAAGCUUAAAUGGUGUGUCCAUACUUGCUCGGCUGUUCCGCUUUCAACCUUUGCAGGAAAUCUGGUUUGCCGUCACUCUGACAGCCUCUAGUUACACUUGGAUUUUGGAAAUCAUUGUUAAUUUUGGAAUAUGGCUCUAUCAUGCAUAGAUCAUAGUACUUAAAGACAAGGAGUUUUUAAAGCCCUCCCCCUUUUUAAAAAAAAAAUCUGGAGUUUUUACUGUUAAUUUCUAGCUGUGUAAAGUUAACUUAGAAUCAAAAGCAAGUAGCAAAUACAAUUUAAUUUGAGCAUGUUUAUUGUGAUAUAGUAUAUAAAAAAACAUGAAUUUAAUCGAAAUUGAUAGAAAACUAAGAAAAAUACCAGAUUUAGAUAAAAGGGGGAGGGCUAAAAAAAAUUGUCUUUUAACCAAUAUCUAUGGCAUAGACCAGAUCAUUUUUCAAAGUUAUGCUAAUCGUUUAUGGUAAUUUUUUAAUUUCCCCCGAUUUCACAUCAGUUUGAAAGAAAUCAAAGUUAUUUAAUAUAGAAUAAAAGUUUUUUAAUAUAGAAUAAAAGUUGAGGAACAAAUUAUUUUCAGAUAAAUGUAGGGAUUGCCCAUUACAUCGCAAUAAACUAAACAUGCAUAUUAUGCAUAUUAUUAUUUUUAAUAUAUUUUUUUUCUUUAGGAUAUUUUUUUUUCUUUUCAAAUUUAUUGUUCAGAAAUACAAUGAAGCUAGGAGGAAAGACACAGAGAAAUAUAAAUGUAUAGCUUAUCAUUUUGUGAUCAACAUCUGGUUAUAAUUAGUGAACCACUUAACAAGUGUGUCCACAUAAUUUAUAUCUAACUGAUUACUGAUAACAUGCUGAGAUAAAUUUAUAGAAAAAUAUUAGGAAAUCCGGGCUUAUGUCUUAGAGUGAUAAAGUCUAUGUACUCACCAUAUAUGUAGCUCCACUGGGGAGUUUGAGGCUUUGCUAAGAUUGUACAAUCACUUUUGCAAACAAAGCAGUGAUUUCAACCAGGUUUUUCAGCAGGCUUAACCUUCCCACUUGUAUGACAGUGAUUUCAGUUCAUAUAGUCUAAAAACUUUAUUGAUACCAUAGAUUCAUAUCCCCCUGUGUAUUUCUUGUAAGUGAGUUGAAACUUAGGUCUAACAUCCUUUUUUUUUUAUAAACUUUUAUCAAAUCUUUAGUUGUAUAUUUCUUGCCGAUAAUAUUAUGUAACCUAAAAUUGUGUUAAUACAAACAUUUGUUUUCAAGUGCUUUCUUAAUUGGAAUUAUAUUUUAGAGUGAUUUUCUUUUAUUUGAUUAAUUAUUGAAGAAACAAUUACUUCUAACCCACUGCUUUCAUUUUGUAAAGUGCUUUGACAGCCAAUCAGACAGGUUACAAUAAAAUAAUCUGAAGAGAUUUUCUCCUGACAUUAGCCAUAUAUGCAUGGACAUUGAUUUUUUUCAAUAUACCAAAACCUUGAAACUAUUGCCACUUUCCUCCAAACUUGAUUGUUUUAUACUGUUUCUGAUGAAGGGACUUGAUUAUGCAUGAUAAGCAACUUUUGAAAAAUUUGUUUCAAAAUAUUGUUUUGUUAGGCAUUUUUAUCUUGUGAACCAUUUUCCAAGUUGAUAAAAAUAUCUUUUGUAGACAUAUGCUGGUAAUAAUUUUGAUCAAGGGAGAUAAGGAAAAGAUAAGGAAAAGUAAUAAAGGGAGAUAAUUAAAGGACAUUUAGAAGAAAGUGAGGUUUUGAUGAAG
This 10273-nucleotide long non-coding RNA is filed under the name Mytilus galloprovincialis (Mediterranean mussel). The record is from RNAcentral. Lineage: Eukaryota; Metazoa; Mollusca; Bivalvia; Mytilida; Mytilidae.